UAUCACUGAUUUUAUUUGCAGUAUCAAACAUUCCAUUUCAUGCCCCAUUAACAGUAGGAGCCUGAGCUUUUUGACGCAGCUAAACAUUUUACUAACUACCUGGACUAAGUAACCAAUUAACUUUUGGAGACAAUACGGCCAAUUAAGCGCGAAAAGUCACCUCUGCACUUCCAGAUUCUGGCCAGGACCAGAGGCAUAAAUACUAUGGGGAAACUGAAAACCAGAAAGCUUCAACAAUUUGCCCAAGGUCAGAGAGAAAAUCUGAAAUAAAUCAAGGAGGAAUGGAACUCUGAUUUUUCUGUCAUGUAGACUCAUCCUAGAACUCUUCACAUGAGCAUGUCAGUUCACUUAAGUGUUCCUACUCAUGAAUAAGAGGUUGUAAUCAUGUGGAGAAUCUUUUGGGUGUGAAUUCCAGCUAAAUAGAAACUCUGUGUUGGUGGUGGCCUGGCCUCACUCAAAGUACCCUUUGCGUCUGACUCUGCCCAUUCCAGCAAGGAGACAACUUGGGGGAAAAUGUGGUCAAAAUAAAUAAAGCACCAGAAUGGAAAAGGGAACUUGACCGGAGAUAAACGAAUCCUCUCCCUAGAUGUGUUUUUGUUUUAUCACAAUGACCUUUCAGAGAAAAGAUGAAGCCAGCCUCAGGUAAAAAGAAACAACCACAUUUCAUCUACAGUUAGCCUUUGUGACCUCUGAACUCUGCUUUUCUAUCUGAACCUAUUUCCAUACACCAUUUCUCCUCUCCACAGAUAAGGAACAUCCAAGUGUCAGCCAGGAACUUAGAGCUUUAAUACAAAGGCCAGUAAACAAACACGGCCACCGCUUAAUUGGUGAAAUUAUCCUCCUUGUUUUUUUUCUAAUAUCUUCUGUUCUGCAUGACACAGGAGCCUGAUAAACUGCAUGACGGAGAUCAAACCUCACCCCACAUGGCACAUUUAGCAAUAUAGAUUUAAAUAUAUAUGUGUGUUGUAGUAUAUCCCAUUAUCGUAUCAUCACUUUUUCAGCUAUCUCUAACACAAGAGUCAAGGGGUUUGGGAGCACAUACAAAAAAAGAGAGAUUUCUAAGAGAGCAGGAGAUUGGGUUAGGGUCAGACGAAAGGGUAAUUAUUGUUAAAUGUCAGGUUAACUCUGAAGGCCUCAGCUCAUCCAACUGAGAGCAGAUUAGCCCAGAUGGAGACAUUUUCAACACGGUUCUGUCUGGCCAAUCAGAGACAGCUGGGAUUAGCCAAAUACCUUCUCUCAUCUGCUUGCUCUCAGAAAGGUCAGUUUCUGCUCAUUGCCUCCCUUUUAAGAUUUUUUUUCCUUUUUUUUUUUUUUUUGUGUGGCGGCCGUAUGCAGGAAAUCAGGACCCUUUUAUCAGCAAAUUAAAUAUUCAACAUCUAAAAAUCACUUUUUCUGAGAGUCAACUUCAUUCACUUUCAAGAGCACUUUUAUCUUUUUUUUUUAAGAGCUGCGGAGAGAGAAAGAGGGAGAGGUACCAAAUCUUCAGCUGCUGUAAAUCAGUGUAGUUCCAUAAACUUCAAUGGAGCUACAUCAAUUUACAGCAGCUGAGGAUCUGGCCUCAUAGUAUAUGAUUUGGAUUUUUUUCUUCCUCAUUUUUAUUUUGCCUGUCUUUCUAAAACAACCCAGCCAAUCAAAAACCCUAUGGUAAUUUUGUUCUCUACAUUCAUCUGUUUAAGGGCUACAGUUUAUGUUUUCUAUCUAAAGGAGUAAGGGAAAAAAAGAACACUAGGCACCACCAAACCCUGAAACUAACCCUGGAGUGCUUUAAAAACUAAUCGGUUUUUAUAUACAGCUCUUCUCCCAGACAGUUUAAAUAAGUACAAACAUAAAACUCAGUGAUAAAAUGAACAGGAACUGCAAACAAAAAUCACAUUCGCAAUGCAUUCCCCGAGAUCUGUUGUUGGAUACCUAGA
Mauremys reevesii (Reeves's turtle) is the source of this 1913-nucleotide long non-coding RNA. RefSeq lists it as uncharacterized. The transcript has 3 exons. NCBI's taxonomy places the organism in Eukaryota, Metazoa, Chordata, Testudines, Geoemydidae. The record is from RefSeq and is a predicted model, not a curated record.